RNAcentral lists this ribosomal RNA (216 nucleotides) under Glomeromycotina sp. RNAcentral's name for it is "partial small subunit ribosomal RNA". The stretch from base 40 to 216 matches the Rfam family "Eukaryotic small subunit ribosomal RNA", at positions 686 to 864 of the family's 1831-position model. The record is from RNAcentral. Lineage: Eukaryota; Fungi; Glomeromycota.
GGGUCAGUAGGUUGGUCGUGCCACCGGUACGUACUGGUCUCACUGAUUCCUCCUUCCUGAAGAACUGUAAUGCCAUUAAUUUGGUGUCGCGGGGAAACAGGACUGUUACUUUGAAAAAAUUAGAGUGUUUAAGGCAAGCUAACGCUUGAAUACAUUAGCAUGGAAUAAUGAAAUAGGACGAUCGAUCCUAUUUUGUUGGUUUCUAGGAUUGACGUA